GACGAACGCUGGCGGCGUGCUUAACACAUGCAAGUCGAACGGAAAGGCCCUGCUUUUGUGGGGUGCUCGAGUGGCGAACGGGUGAGUAACACGUGAGUAACCUGCCCUUGACUUUGGGAUAACUUCAGGAAACUGGGGCUAAUACCGGAUAGGAGCUCCUGCUGCAUGGUGGGGGUUGGAAAGUUUCGGCGGUUGGGGAUGGACUCGCGGCUUAUCAGCUUGUUGGUGGGGUAGUGGCUUACCAAGGGUUUGACGGGUAGCCGGCCUGAGAGGGUGACCGGCCACAUGGGGACUGAGAUACGGCCCAGACUCCUACGGGAGGCAGCAGUGGGGAAUAUUGCACAAUGGGCGGAAGCCUGAUGCAGCAACGCCGCGUGCGGGAUGACGGCCUUCGGGUUGUAAACCGCUUUCGCCUGUGACGAAGCGUGAGUGACGGUAAUGGGUAAAGAAGCACCGGCUAACUACGUG
RNAcentral lists this ribosomal RNA (468 nucleotides) under uncultured bacterium. Its description in RNAcentral is "partial 16S ribosomal RNA". It matches the Rfam family "Bacterial small subunit ribosomal RNA", at positions 28 to 507 of the family's 1533-position model. The record is from RNAcentral.